RNAcentral lists this ribosomal RNA (423 nucleotides) under uncultured bacterium. Its description in RNAcentral is "partial 16S ribosomal RNA". It matches the Rfam family "Bacterial small subunit ribosomal RNA", at positions 360 to 775 of the family's 1533-position model. The record is from RNAcentral.
AAUUUUGGACAAUGGGGGAAACCCUGAUCCAGCCAUCCCGCGUGUAUGAUGAAGGCCNNNGGGUUNUCAAGUACUUUUUGUAGNGAGNAAAAGUUAUCUCCUAAUACGAGAUACUGCUGACGGUAUCUGCAGAAUAAGCACCGGCCAGCUACGUUCCAGCAGCCGCGGUAAUACGUAGGGUCCAACCGUUAAUCGGAAUUACUGGGAGUAAAGAGUGUGUAGGCGGUUCGGAAAGAAAGAUGUGAAAACCCAGGGCUCAACCUUGGAACUGCAUUUUUAACUGCCGAGCUAGAGUAUGUCAGAGGGGGGUAGAAUUCCACGUGUAGCAGUGAAAUGCGUAGAUAUGUGGAGGAAUACCGAUGGCGAAGGCAGCCCCCUGGGAUAAUACUGACGCUCAGACACGAAAGCGUGGGGAGCAAACAG